Molecule: ribosomal RNA, 25 nt
Filed under: Tetratrichomonas gallinarum
Lineage: Eukaryota; Parabasalia; Trichomonadida; Trichomonadidae
Description: partial large subunit ribosomal RNA
Source: RNAcentral
AAAGAUACGUAGUCUGCGACAUACA